RNAcentral lists this transfer RNA (90 nucleotides) under Candidatus Berkelbacteria bacterium. RNAcentral describes it as "tRNA-Ser". It matches the Rfam family "tRNA". From Rfam's summary of the family: Transfer RNA (tRNA) molecules are approximately 80 nucleotides in length. Their secondary structure includes four short double-helical elements and three loops (D, anti-codon, and T loops). The record is from RNAcentral. Lineage: Bacteria; Candidatus Berkelbacteria.
GGAGGCGUGGCAGAGUGGACGAAUGCGGCGCUCUUGAAAAGCGUUAGGGGUGAAAGCUCCUCGUGGGUUCGAAUCCUACCGCCUCCGCCA